GGUUAAGCGACUAAGCGUACACGGUGGAUGCCCUGGCAGUCAGAGGCGAUGAAGGACGUGCUAAUCUGCGAUAAGCGUCGGUAAGGUGAUAUGAACCGUUAUAACCGGCGAUUUCCGAAUGGGGAAACCCAGUGUGAUUCGUCACACUAUCAUUAACUGAAUCCAUAGGUUAAUGAGGCGAACCGGGGGAACUGAAACAUCUAAGUACCCCGAGGAAAAGAAAUCAACCGAGAUUCCCCCAGUAGCGGCGAGCGAACGGGGAGCAGCCCAGAGCCUGAAUCAGUGUGUGUGUUAGUGGAAGCGUCUGGAAAGGCGCGCGAUACAGGGUGACAGCCCCGUACACAAAAAUGCACAUGCUGUGAGCUCGAUGAGUAGGGCGGGACACGUGGUAUCCUGUCUGAAUAUGGGGGGACCAUCCUCCAAGGCUAAAUACUCCUGACUGACCGAUAGUGAACCAGUACCGUGAGGGAAAGGCGAAAAGAACCCCGGCGAGGGGAGUGAAAAAGAACCUGAAACCGUGUACGUACAAGCAGUGGGAGCACAGAGCAAUCUGUGUGACUGCGUACCUUUUGUAUAAUGGGUCAGCGACUUAUAUUCUGUAGCAAGGUUAACCGAAUAGGGGAGCCGAAGGGAAACCGAGUCUUAACUGGGCGUUAAGUUGCAGGGUAUAGACCCGAAACCCGGUGAUCUAGCCAUGGGCAGGUUGAAGGUUGGGUAACACUAACUGGAGGACCGAACCGACUAAUGUUGAAAAAUUAGCGGAUGACUUGUGGCUGGGGGUGAAAGGCCAAUCAAACCGGGAGAUAGCUGGUUCUCCCCGAAAGCUAUUUAGGUAGCGCCUCGUGAAUUCAUCUCCGGGGGUAGAGCACUGUUUCGGCAAGGGGGUCAUCCCGACUUACCAACCCGAUGCAAACUGCGAAUACCGGAGAAUGUUAUCACGGGAGACACACGGCGGGUGCUAACGUCCGUCGUGAAGAGGGAAACAACCCAGACCGCCAGCUAAGGUCCCAAAGUCAUGGUUAAGUGGGAAACGAUGUGGGAAGGCCCAGACAGCCAGGAUGUUGGCUUAGAAGCAGCCAUCAUUUAAAGAAAGCGUAAUAGCUCACUGGUCGAGUCGGCCUGCGCGGAAGAUGUAACGGGGCUAAACCAUGCACCGAAGCUGCGGCAGCGACGCUUAUGCGUUGUUGGGUAGGGGAGCGUUCUGUAAGCCUGUNNNNNNNNNNNNNNNNNNNNNNNNNNNNNNNNNNNNNNNNNNNNNNNNNNNNNNNNNNNNNNNNNNNNNNNNNNNNNNNNNNNNNNNNNNNNNNNNNGGUGGAGCUGAAAUCAGUCGAAGAUACCAGCUGGCUGCAACUGUUUAUUAAAAACACAGCACUGUGCAAACACGAAAGUGGACGUAUACGGUGUGACGCCUGCCCGGUGCCGGAAGGUUAAUUGAUGGGGUUAGCGCAAGCGAAGCUCUUGAUCGAAGCCCCGGUAAACGGCGGCCGUAACUAUAACGGUCCUAAGGUAGCGAAAUUCCUUGUCGGGUAAGUUCCGACCUGCACGAAUGGCGUAAUGAUGGCCAGGCUGUCUCCACCCGAGACUCAGUGAAAUUGAACUCGCUGUGAAGAUGCAGUGUACCCGCGGCAAGACGGAAAGACCCCGUGAACCUUUACUAUAGCUUGACACUGAACAUUGAGCCUUGAUGUGUAGGAUAGGUGGGAGGCUUUGAAGUGUGGACGCCAGUCUGCAUGGAGCCGACCUUGAAAUACCACCCUUUAAUGUUUGAUGUUCUAACGUGGACCCGUAAUCCGGGUUGCGGACAGUGUCUGGUGGGUAGUUUGACUGGGGCGGUCUCCUCCUAAAGAGUAACGGAGGAGCACGAAGGUUGGCUAAUCCUGGUCGGACAUCAGGAGGUUAGUGCAAUGGCAUAAGCCAGCUUGACUGCGAGCGUGACGGCGCGAGCAGGUGCGAAAGCAGGUCAUAGUGAUCCGGUGGUUCUGAAUGGAAGGGCCAUCGCUCAACGGAUAAAAGGUACUCCGGGGAUAACAGGCUGAUACCGCCCAAGAGUUCAUAUCGACGGCGGUGUUUGGCACCUCGAUGUCGGCUCAUCACAUCCUGGGGCUGAAGUAGGUCCCAAGGGUAUGGCUGUUCGCCAUUUAAAGUGGUACGCGAGCUGGGUUUAGAACGUCGUGAGACAGUUCGGUCCCUAUCUGCCGUGGGCGCUGGAGAACUGAGGGGGGCUGCUCCUAGUACGAGAGGACCGGAGUGGACGCAUCACUGGUGUUCGGGUUGUCAUGCCAAUGGCACUGCCCGGUAGCUAAAUGCGGAAGAGAUAAGUGCUGAAAGCAUCUAAGCACGAAACUUGCCCCGAGAUGAGUUCUCCCUGACUCCUUGAGAGUCCUGAAGGAACGUUGAAGACGACGACGUUGAUAGGCCGGGUGUGUAAGCGCAGCGAUGCGUUGAGCUAACCGGUACUAAUGAACCGUGAGGCUUAACCUU
Molecule: ribosomal RNA, 2481 nt
Filed under: Escherichia coli
Lineage: Bacteria; Pseudomonadati; Pseudomonadota; Gammaproteobacteria; Enterobacterales; Enterobacteriaceae
Description: 23S ribosomal RNA
Rfam family: Bacterial large subunit ribosomal RNA
Source: RNAcentral